This 254-nucleotide ribosomal RNA is filed under the name uncultured bacterium. RNAcentral describes it as "partial 16S ribosomal RNA". It matches the Rfam family "Bacterial small subunit ribosomal RNA", at positions 524 to 776 of the family's 1533-position model. The record is from RNAcentral.
UACGUAGGGGGCAAGCGUUGUUCGGAAUGACUGGGCGUAAAGGGUGCGUAGGCGGUGUAGCAAGUUAGAAGUGAAAUACCUAGAGCUUAACUCAGGUGCUGCUUCUAAAACUGCUAUACUUGAGUGCAGUAGAGGAAAGUGGAAUUCCUAGUGUAGCGGUGGAAUGCGUAGAUAUAUGGAGGAACACCGGUGGCGAAAGCGGCUCUCUGGCCUGUAACUGACACUGAGGCUCGAAAGCGUGGGGAGCAAACGGG